Molecule: transfer RNA, 71 nt
Filed under: Spirulinaceae cyanobacterium RM2_2_10
Lineage: Bacteria; Bacillati; Cyanobacteriota; Cyanophyceae; Spirulinales; Spirulinaceae
Also listed under: 1 other name
Description: tRNA-Gly
Rfam family: tRNA
About the family: Transfer RNA (tRNA) molecules are approximately 80 nucleotides in length. Their secondary structure includes four short double-helical elements and three loops (D, anti-codon, and T loops).
Source: RNAcentral
GCGGGCAUAGUUUAAUGGUAGAACUUCAGCCUUCCAAGCUGAUCGUGCGGGUUCGAUCCCCGCUGCCCGCU